This 424-nucleotide ribosomal RNA is filed under the name uncultured bacterium. Its description in RNAcentral is "partial 16S ribosomal RNA". It matches the Rfam family "Bacterial small subunit ribosomal RNA", at positions 359 to 775 of the family's 1533-position model. The record is from RNAcentral.
GAAUCUUCCGCAAUGGACGAAAGUUUGACGGAGCAACGCCGCGUGAGCGAAGAAGGUCUUCGGAUCGUAAAGCUCUGUUGUUAGGGAAGAAUAAGUACGAGAGUAACUGCUCGUACCUUGACGGUACCUACCCAGAAAGCCACGGCUAACUACGUGCCAGCAGCCGCGGUAAUACGUAGGUGGCAAGCGUUGUCCGGAAUUAUUGGGCGUAGAGCGCGCGCAGGCGGUUCCUUAAGUCUGAUGUGAAAUCUUGCGGCUCAACCGUGAGCGGUCAUUGGAAACUGGGGAACUUGAGUGCAGGAGAGAAGAGCGGAAUUCCACGUGUAGCGGUGAAAUGCGUAGAGAUGUGGAGGAACACCAGUGGCGAAGGCGGCUCUUUGGCCUGUAACUGACGCUGAGGCGCGAAAGCGUGGGGAGCAAACAG